AUGAACGCUGGCGGCGUGCCUAAUACAUGCAAGUCGAGCGAACAGAUAAGGAGCUUGCUCCUUUGACGUUAGCGGCGGACGGGUGAGUAACAUGUGGGUAACCUACCUAUAAGACUGGGAUAACUUCGGGAAACCGGAGCUAAUACCGGAUAAUAUAUUGAACCGCAUGGUUCAAUAGUGAAAGACGGUUUUGCUGUCACUUAUAGAUGGAUCCGCGCCGCAUUAGCUAGUUGGUAAGGUAACGGCUUACCAAGGCAACGAUGCGUAGCCG
This 271-nucleotide ribosomal RNA is filed under the name uncultured bacterium. RNAcentral describes it as "partial 16S ribosomal RNA". It matches the Rfam family "Bacterial small subunit ribosomal RNA", at positions 29 to 289 of the family's 1533-position model. The record is from RNAcentral.